RNAcentral lists this ribosomal RNA (460 nucleotides) under uncultured bacterium. RNAcentral describes it as "partial 16S ribosomal RNA". It matches the Rfam family "Bacterial small subunit ribosomal RNA", at positions 338 to 795 of the family's 1533-position model. The record is from RNAcentral.
CCUACGGGAGGCAGCAGUUAUUAAUAUUUUUCCCUUUCCUGCCGGCUGCCCCCGCCAUGCCGCGUGAAGGUCAGUGCCCUAUGGGCGUUAAACUUCUUUUGUGCGGGAGCAAUAAUGGUCACGUGUGGCCAGACGAGAGUACCGUACGAAUAAGCAUCGGCUAACUCCGUGCCAGCAGCCGCGGUAAUACGGGGGAUGCAAGCGUUAUCCGGAUUUAUUGGGUUUAAAGGGUGCGUAGGCUGUGAGGUAAGUCAGCGGUGAAAUGCCCCCGCUCAACGGGGUGAAGUGCCAUUGAUACUGCCUUGCUGGAAUGCGGAUGCCGUGGGAGGAAUGUGUGGUGUAGCGGUGAAAUGCAUAGAUAUCACACAGAACACCGAUUGCGAAGGCAUCUCACGAAUCCGCGAUUGACGCUGAUGCACGAAAGCGUGGGUAUCAAACAGGAUUAGGUACCCCUGUAGUC